GAUUGAACGCUGGCGGCAGGCCUAACACAUGCAAGUCGAGCGAGAAAGCACUUCGGUGUGAGUACAGCGGCGGACGGGGGAGGUAACGCGUAGGAAUUUGUCCAGUAGUGGGGGACAACAUGUGGAAACGCAUGCUAAUACCGCAUACGCCCUACGGGGGAAAGCAGGGGAUCUUCGGACCUUGCGCUAUUGGAUGAGCCUGCGUCGGAUUAGCUAGUUGGUGGGGUAAAGGCCCACCAAGGCGACGAUCCGUAGCUGGUCUGAGAGGAUGAUCAGCCACACUGGAACUGAGACACGGUCCAGACUCCUACGGGAGGCAGCAGUGGGGAAUAUUGCGCAAUGGGCGAAAGCCUGACGCAGCCAUGCCGCGUGUGUGAAGAAGGCCUUAGGGUUGUAAAGCACUUUCAGUAGGGAGGAAAAGUUAGUCGUUAAUAGCGGCUUUCAUUGACGUUACCCACAGAAGAAGCACCGGCUAACUCCGUGCCAGCAGCCGCGGUAAUACGGAGGGUGCAAGCGUUAAUCGGAAUUACUGGGCGUAAAGCGCGCGUAGGCGGAUUGGCAAGUUGGAUGUGAAAGCCCUGGGCUCAACCUGGGAACUGCAUUUAGAACUGGAUAGCUAGAGUAUGGUAGAGGAGUGUGGAAUUCCAGGUGUAGCGGUGAAAUGCGUAGAGAUCUGAAGGAACAUCAGUGGCGAAGGCGACACUCUGGACCAAUACUGACGCUGAGGUGCGAAAGCGUGGGUAGCAAACAGGAUUAGAUACCCUGGUAGUCCACGCCGUAAACGAUGUCUACUAGCCGUUGGGUUCCUUGAGGACUUAGUGGCGCAGCUAACGCAUUAAGUAGACCGCCUGGGGAGUACGGUCGCAAGGUUGAAACUCAAAGGAAUUGACGGGGGCCCGCACAAGCGGUGGAGCAUGUGGUUUAAUUCGAUGCAACGCGAAGAACCUUACCAGGUCUUGACAUCCUGCGAAUUUUCUAGAAAUAGAUUAGUGCCUUCGGGAACGCAGUGACAGGUGCUGCAUGGCUGUCGUCAGCUCGUGUCGCGAGAUGUUGGGUUAAGUCCCGUAACGAGCGCAACCCUUGUCCUUAGUUGCCAUCAGGUAAUGCUGGGAACUUAAGGAGACUGCCGGUGACAAACCGGAGGAAGGUGGGGACGACGUCAAGUCAUCAUGGCCCUUACGACCUGGGCUACACACGUGCUACAAUGGCCGGUACAGAGGGCUGCAAUACCGCGAGGGGGAGCGAAUCUCAGAAAACCGGUCGUAGUCCGGAUUGGAGUCUGCAACUCGACUCCAUAAAGUCGGAAUCGCUAGUAAUAGCGAAUCAGAAUGUCGCGGUGAAUACGUUCCCGGGCCUUGUACACACCGCCCGUCACACCAUGGGAGUGGAUUGCACCAGAAGUAGGUAGCUUAACCUUCGGGAGAGCGCUUACCACGGUGUGGUUCAUGACUGGGGUGAA
Molecule: ribosomal RNA, 1459 nt
Filed under: uncultured prokaryote
Description: partial 16S ribosomal RNA
Rfam family: Bacterial small subunit ribosomal RNA
Source: RNAcentral